Molecule: non-coding RNA, 74 nt
Organism: Ixodes scapularis (black-legged tick)
Lineage: Eukaryota; Metazoa; Arthropoda; Arachnida; Ixodida; Ixodidae
Source: Rfam
GCUGGGAUGGUCUAAUCGGUUUAGGCGUCGCCCCGGACAGGCGAAGGUUGCGGGUUCAAUCCCUGCUCCUGGCC